Molecule: long non-coding RNA, 283 nt
Filed under: Linum usitatissimum (flax)
Lineage: Eukaryota; Viridiplantae; Streptophyta; Magnoliopsida; Malpighiales; Linaceae
Description: long non-coding RNA (LUSI_LNC007259)
Source: RNAcentral
AUGUCCUAGUAUCUCCUGGUCCGUCGGAUCAAACUUCAUGCCAGCUGGCAGCCCCGGCAAAUCCUGUAUCCCCCCGCCGCCGCCGCCGCCCUACAACAAACAACCAAUCAUUAGCGACGGCGGAUAUUGAACAAAACAUUAGCGACGGCGGAUAUUAAACAAAACACAAAAGAUGACAGAACCAAAAUAAAUAAAUAAAAGAAAAAAACAAACCUGAUCUUGGAACGAGGAGGACGAAUCCAUGACCUGGCCACAUGAAGGACACCUGGAAGCGGCGGGAAAC